CUGUGAUUAUUAAUCUGUGAACCAAAUCUCUCCAUUUAGAAAUCGAGCGAUAGCAGAUUAUCUUCGUUCUAACGGCUAUGAAGAGGCAUACUCUGUUUUUAAAAAGGAGGCAGAGCUUGAUGUGAAUGAAGAAUUAGAUAAGAAAUAUGCUGGGCUCUUGGAAAAAAAAUGGACAUCAGUUAUAAGAUUACAAAAGAAAGUUAUGGAAUUAGAAUCCAAAUUAAAUGAAGCUAAAGAAGAAUUUACAUCAGGUGGGCCUCUUGGUCAGAAGCGAGAUCCUAAAGAAUGGAUUCCCCGUCCUCCAGAAAAGUACGCAUUAAGUGGGCACAGAAGUCCAGUCACAAGAGUAAUUUUCCAUCCAGUUUUCAGUGUUAUGGUCUCUGCUUCAGAGGAUGCUACAAUAAAGGUAGGACCUUCAUAACCUGUGCACUA
Notechis scutatus (mainland tiger snake) is the source of this 432-nucleotide non-coding RNA. Lineage: Eukaryota; Metazoa; Chordata; Lepidosauria; Squamata; Elapidae. The record is from RefSeq and is a predicted model, not a curated record.